This 352-nucleotide ribosomal RNA is filed under the name uncultured bacterium. Its description in RNAcentral is "partial 16S ribosomal RNA". It matches the Rfam family "Bacterial small subunit ribosomal RNA", at positions 338 to 687 of the family's 1533-position model. The record is from RNAcentral.
CCUACGGGAGGCAGCAGUGAGGAAUAUUGGUCAAUGGACGAGAGUCUGAACCAGCCAAGUAGCGUGAAGGAUGACUGCCCUAGGGGUUGUAACCUUCUUUUAUAAAGGAAUAAACCGAGGCACGUGUGCCUUUUUGCAUGUACUUUAUGAAUAAGGAUCGGCUAACUCCGUGCCAGCAGCCGCUGUAAGACGGAUGAACCGAGCAUUAUCCGGAUUUAUUGGGUUUAAAGGGAGCGUAGGUGGGUAUUUUAGUCAGUUGUGAAAGUUUGCGGCUAAACCGUUAAAUUGCAAUUGAUACUGGCAGUCUUUAGGACAGGUGAGGUAGGCGGAAUUCGGGGUGGAGGGGUGAAAC